UUACGGUCAUACAAUUUUGAAACACCGGUUCUCGUAUGAUCACCAAAGCUAAGCAAAGUCGAACCUGAUCAGUACUUAGAUGGAUAACCACUUGGGAAUAACAGGUGCUGUAAG
Acanthosepion pharaonis is the source of this 114-nucleotide non-coding RNA. The record is from the annotation of a GenBank genome assembly. Lineage: Eukaryota; Metazoa; Mollusca; Cephalopoda; Sepiida; Sepiidae.